GGACUACUGGGGUAUCUAAUCCUGUUUGCUCCCCUAGCUUUCGUGCCUCAGUGUCAGGAAUCGUCCAGGGACUCGCCUUCGCCACUGGUGUUCCUCUCGAUAUCUACGCAUUUCACUGCUACACCGAGAAUUCCAGUCCCCCCUCCGAUCCUCCAGCCAAAUAGUAUCCAAUGCAGUUUCGGAGUUAAGCUCCGAGAUUUCACAUCAGACUUAUCUGACCACCUACGCACCCUUUACGCCCAGUGAAUCCGAACAACGCUUGGGACCUCUGUAUUACCGCGGCUGCUGGCAC
RNAcentral lists this ribosomal RNA (292 nucleotides) under uncultured Verrucomicrobiota bacterium. RNAcentral's name for it is "uncultured Verrucomicrobia bacterium partial 16S ribosomal RNA". The record is from RNAcentral. Lineage: Bacteria; Pseudomonadati; Verrucomicrobiota.